RNAcentral lists this ribosomal RNA (497 nucleotides) under uncultured bacterium. Its description in RNAcentral is "partial 16S ribosomal RNA". It matches the Rfam family "Bacterial small subunit ribosomal RNA", at positions 28 to 507 of the family's 1533-position model. The record is from RNAcentral.
GAUGAACGCUGGCGGCGUGCCUAAUACAUGCAAGUCGAGCGAACGGACGAGAAGCUUGCUUCUCUCAUGUUAGCGGCGGACGGGUGAGUAACACGUGGAUAACCUACCUAUAAGACUGGGAUAACUUCGGGAAACCGGAGCUAAUACCGGAUAAUAUUUUGAACCGCAUGGUUCAAAAGUGAAAGACGGUCUUGCUGUCACUUAUAGAUGGAUCCGCGCUGCAUUAGCUAGUUGGUAAGGUAACGGCUUACCAAGGCAACGAUGCAUAGCCGACCUGAGAGGGUGAUCGGCCACACUGGAACUGAGACACGGUCCAGACUCCUACGGGAGGCAGCAGUAGGGAAUCUUCCGCAAUGGGCGAAAGCCUGACGGAGCAACGCCGCGUGAGUGAUGAAGGUCUUCGGAUCGUAAAACUCUGUUAUUAGGGAAGAACAUAUGUGUAAGUAACUGUGCACAUCUUGACGGUACCUAAUCAGAAAGCCACGGCUAACUACGUG